CCUACGGGUGGCAGCAGUGAGGAAUAUUGGUCAAUGGGCGAGAGCCUGAACCAGCCAAGUCGCGUGAAGGAUGACUGUCUUAUGGAUUGUAAACUUCUUUUGUAGGGGAAUAAAGAACGGUACGUGUACCGUAGUGAAUGUACCCUACGAAUAAGCAUCGGCUAACUCCGUGCCAGCAGCCGCGGUAAUACGGAGGAUGCGAGCGUUAUCCGGAUUUAUUGGGUUUAAAGGGUGCGUAGGCGGCCUGUUAAGUCAGCGGUGAAAUCUAGGAGCUUAACUCCUAAAUUGCCAUUGAUACUGGCGGGCUUGAGUGUAGAUGAGGUAGGCGGAAUGCGUGGUGUAGCGGUGGAAUGCAUAGAUAUCACGCAGAACUCCGAUUGCGAAGGCAGCUUACUAAGGUACAACUGACGCUGAAGCACGAAAGCGUGGGUAUCAAACAGGAUUAGAUACCCUUGUAGUC
This 460-nucleotide ribosomal RNA is filed under the name uncultured Porphyromonas sp. RNAcentral describes it as "bacterial SSU rRNA". It matches the Rfam family "Bacterial small subunit ribosomal RNA", at positions 338 to 795 of the family's 1533-position model. Lineage: Bacteria; Pseudomonadati; Bacteroidota; Bacteroidia; Bacteroidales; Porphyromonadaceae. The record is from RNAcentral.